RNAcentral lists this ribosomal RNA (305 nucleotides) under uncultured bacterium. Its description in RNAcentral is "bacterial SSU rRNA". It matches the Rfam family "Bacterial small subunit ribosomal RNA", at positions 333 to 635 of the family's 1533-position model. The record is from RNAcentral.
AACUACCUACGGGGCGCAGCAGUGAGGAAUAUUGGUCAAUGGGCGGUAGCCUGAACCAGCCAAGUAGCGUGAAGGAUGAAGGUUCUAUGGAUUGUAAACUUCUUUUAUAUGGGAAUAAAGUUUUCCACGUGUGGAAUUUUGUAUGUACCAUAUGAAUAAGGAUCGGCUAACUCCGUGCCAGCAGCCGCGGUAAUACGGAGGAUCCGAGCGUUAUCCGGAUUUAUUGGGUUUAAAGGGAGCGUAGGUGGAUUGUUAAGUCAGUUGUGAAAGUUUGCGGCUCAACCGUAAAAUUGCAGUUGAAACUG